AGGAUGCCCAGUUAGAUUCGAAUUUCAGAUUAAAAACAGACAGUAUUUUGGUAUAAGUAUAUCCCAUGCAAGAUUUGGGAUAUACUUAUGCUAAAAACUAUUCAUUGUUCAUCAAAAUUCAACCUCACCUUGGA
Molecule: microRNA precursor, 134 nt
Filed under: Ovis aries (sheep)
Lineage: Eukaryota; Metazoa; Chordata; Mammalia; Artiodactyla; Bovidae
Description: miRNA (ENSOARG00000022297.1)
Rfam family: mir-1302 microRNA precursor family (bases 45-96)
Source: RNAcentral